Molecule: ribosomal RNA, 492 nt
Filed under: uncultured bacterium
Lineage: Bacteria
Description: partial 16S ribosomal RNA
Rfam family: Bacterial small subunit ribosomal RNA
Source: RNAcentral
AGUGAACGCUGGCGGUAGGCCUAACACAUGCAAGUCGAACGGCAGCACAGUAAGAGCUCGCCCCUACGGGUGGCGAGUGGCGGACGGGUGAGGAAUACAUCGGAAUCUACUUUUUCGUGGGGGAUAACGUAGGGAAACUUAUGCUAAUACCGCAUACGACCUACGGGUGAAAGCAGGGGAUCUUCGGACCUUGCGCGAUUGAAUGAGCCGAUGUCGGAUUAGCUAGUUGGCGGGGUAAAGGCCCACCAAGGCGACGAUCCGUAGCUGGUCUGAGAGGAUGAUCGGCCACACUGGAACUGAGACACGGUCCAGGCUCCUACGGGAGGCAGCAGUGGGGAAUAUUGGACAAUGGGCGCAAGCCUGAUCCAGCCAUGCCGCGUGGGUGAAGAAGGCCUUCGGGUUGUAAAGCCCUUUUGUUGGGAAAGAAAAGCAGCAGGUUAAUACCCCGCUGUUCUGACGGUACCCAAAGAAUAAGCACCGGCUAACUUCGUG